GGCAACUUGGCCGAGCGGUCUAAGGCGCCACGUUAAGGAAUAAUCCUUGAUAACCAUCUUCUCCAGCAGGAUUCCGUGGUCCGAAAGGGCGUGAGUUCGAAUCUCACAGUUGUCA
This is a non-coding RNA of Podospora australis, 115 nucleotides long. The record is from the annotation of a GenBank genome assembly. Lineage: Eukaryota; Fungi; Ascomycota; Sordariomycetes; Sordariales; Podosporaceae.